RNAcentral lists this transfer RNA (72 nucleotides) under Neotoma lepida (desert woodrat). It matches the Rfam family "tRNA". Rfam says of the family: Transfer RNA (tRNA) molecules are approximately 80 nucleotides in length. Their secondary structure includes four short double-helical elements and three loops (D, anti-codon, and T loops). Lineage: Eukaryota; Metazoa; Chordata; Mammalia; Rodentia; Cricetidae. The record is from Rfam by way of RNAcentral.
AGUGGUGUAGCUCAGUGAUAAAGCACUUGCCUAGCAUGCACUAGGCCCUGAGUUCAAUCCUUAGCACUACAA